Non-coding RNA from Erinaceus europaeus (western European hedgehog), 306 nucleotides. Lineage: Eukaryota; Metazoa; Chordata; Mammalia; Eulipotyphla; Erinaceidae. The record is from Rfam.
GGAUCUGAGGGUGAUCUGGCUGCGACAUCUGUCACCCCAUUGAUCGCCAGGGUUGAUUUGGCUGAUCUGGCUGGCUAGGUGGGUGUCCCCUUCCUCCCUCACCGCUCCAUGUGCGUCCCAUCCAAAGCUGCAUGCUUAGUCGAAGAGGACGGCCUUCCCCAAAUAGGGACAGACUGGUCUUCAGUCCAGGGUAUAUAAGAAGCUGCUCUCCCCUGGUAGAACCUCCAAACAAGCUCUCUUGAGAGUGGGGACCUUCCCUGGAGCAUAUGCCCCCUCAGACUGGAAGAACUGAUUUCCAGUUUGGGG